Mustela erminea (ermine) is the source of this 603-nucleotide long non-coding RNA. RefSeq lists it as uncharacterized. The record is from RefSeq and is a predicted model, not a curated record. Lineage: Eukaryota; Metazoa; Chordata; Mammalia; Carnivora; Mustelidae. The transcript has 4 exons.
ACGGGGCUCGGGCCCCCCUUUCCGAGUGCGCUGGAGAGCCACUGGAGGCUUUUUGCAGGACUUUGCAAGCCAGUGAGGAGGACACACCGGGGCAGGAGGCUCUUGCAGAAACGAGAACACCAGCUUCCUGGAAGUGCCGAGAGCUCGGUUUUGUUCCCUGCUGGGUCCCAGUGACUGGAAGACUGGCUGGCACGUAACAGGCCCUCGGCAUAUAUUUGCUGCAUAAAUAAUGGGACCACAGGAACACUAGGACCACAAGAGAAAAAUGAUCGGAAGUCAUGGCCAGGCAAUUCACCUCACAAAAGACCCCUCUAGGAUACCUGCUGUCCCGGUGCCCCUCCUGGCCCUCUGCUGCUCCUGUCAGCUCUACACAAACCUCCACCAUGGCCCCGGGGCUGAGGCUCAGCGUGGGCCUCGGAGCCACACAGUCUGGACCUUCUCCCUGAGCAGAAUGAGCUUGUCUUACUGGUGUGAUGGAAAACACAAUCCCUGGAGUACCAGGUAGCCACAGAAACCGUAAUUUAUCUGGACCUUAAAUGUCCCCAAACACCUGAACAUCCACCUCAUUCAAUCCUUAAAAAACAUUUUAAGUCGGUGCUGCCC